UACGUAGGGGGCGAGCGUUGUCCGGAAUUAUUGGGCGUAAAGAGCUCGUAGGCGGUCUGUCGCGUCGGCUGUGAAAACCCGGAGCUCAACUCCGGGCCUGCAGUCGAUACGGGCAGACUGGAGUUCGGCAGGGGAGACUGGAAUUCCUGGUGUAGCGGUGAAAUGCGCAGAUAUCAGGAGGAACACCGGUGGCGAAGGCGGGUCUCUGGGCCGAUACUGACGCUGAGGAGCGAAAGCGUGGGGAGCGAACAGG
Molecule: ribosomal RNA, 253 nt
Filed under: uncultured bacterium
Lineage: Bacteria
Description: partial 16S ribosomal RNA
Rfam family: Bacterial small subunit ribosomal RNA
Source: RNAcentral